This 502-nucleotide ribosomal RNA is filed under the name uncultured bacterium. Its description in RNAcentral is "bacterial SSU rRNA". It matches the Rfam family "Bacterial small subunit ribosomal RNA", at positions 8 to 507 of the family's 1533-position model. The record is from RNAcentral.
AGAGUUUGAUCAUGGCUCAGAUUGAACGCUGGCGGCAUGCCUUACACAUGCAAGUCGAACGGUAACGGGCCUUCGGGUGCCGACGAGUGGCGAACGGGUGAGUAAUGCAUCGGAACGUACCUUUCAGUGGGGGAUAACGUAGCGAAAGUUACGCUAAUACCGCAUAUUCUGUGAGCAGGAAAGCAGGGGAUCGCAAGACCUUGCGCUGAUUGAGCGGCCGAUGUCAGAUUAGCUAGUUGGUGAGGUAAAGGCUCACCAAGGCGACGAUCUGUAGCGGGUCUGAGAGGAUGAUCCGCCACACUGGAACUGAGACACGGUCCAGACUCCUACGGGAGGCAGCAGUGGGGAAUUUUGGACAAUGGGGGCAACCCUGAUCCAGCCAUGCCGCGUGAGUGAAGAAGGCCUUCGGGUUGUAAAGCUCUUUCGGCCGGGAAGAAAUCGCAUGGGUUAAUACCCUGUGCGGACGACGGUACCGGCAUAAGAAGCACCGGCUAACUACGUG